GCAGCAGGCGCGAAACCUCCGCAAUGUGAGCAAUCGCGACGGGGGGAUCCCAAGUGCCAUUCUUAACGGGAUGGCUUUUCUUAAGUGUAAGAGCUUUUGGAAUAAGAGCUGGGCAAGACCG
Molecule: ribosomal RNA, 121 nt
Filed under: uncultured archaeon
Lineage: Archaea
Description: partial 16S ribosomal RNA
Rfam family: Archaeal small subunit ribosomal RNA
Source: RNAcentral